This 301-nucleotide unclassified non-coding RNA is filed under the name plant metagenome. RNAcentral's name for it is "partial contains 5.8S ribosomal RNA, internal transcribed spacer 2, and large subunit ribosomal RNA". The stretch from base 1 to 105 matches the Rfam family "5.8S ribosomal RNA", at positions 50 to 154 of the family's 154-position model. The record is from RNAcentral.
GAAAUGCGAUAAGUAGUGUGAAUUGCAGAAUUCAGUGAAUCAUCGAAUCUUUGAACGCACAUUGCGCCCUAUGGUAUUCCGUAGGGCAUGCCUGUUCGAGCGUCAUUUACACCUUCAAGCCUUGCUUGGUGUUGGGUGACUGUGGCCCCUUUGGGGCCACUCGCCUUAAAGUCAUUGGCGGCCGGUUCGUUGGCUUUGUAGCGCAGCACAAUUGCGUCCUCGAAGCUGCUGGACCAGCUCCCAGAAGCUAAUUUUAAAUGUUUGACCUCGAAUCAGGUAGGGAUACCCGCUGAACUUAAGC